Molecule: ribosomal RNA, 253 nt
Filed under: uncultured bacterium
Lineage: Bacteria
Description: partial 16S ribosomal RNA
Rfam family: Bacterial small subunit ribosomal RNA
Source: RNAcentral
UACAGCGGGGGCUAGCGUUAUUCGGAAUUAUUGGGCGUAAAGGGCGCGUAGGCGGCCUUGCGUGUCUUUCGUGAAAUCCCUCGGCUUAACUGAGGACGUGCGGAAGAAACUGCAGGGCUUGAGUCCGGGAGAGGGGGGUGGAAUUCCCAGUGUAGCGGUGAAAUGCGUAGAUAUUGGGAGGAACACCGGUGGCGAAGGCGGCCCCCUGGACCGGUACUGACGCUGAGGCGCGAAAGCGUGGGGAGCAAACGGG